This 59-nucleotide transfer RNA is filed under the name Eurrhacini sp. UPOL A00627. RNAcentral describes it as "tRNA-Leu". Lineage: Eukaryota; Metazoa; Arthropoda; Insecta; Coleoptera; Lycidae. The record is from RNAcentral.
UGUGGCAGAAUAGUGCGAUAAAUUUAAGAUUUAUAUAAAAAGAAAACCUUUCCUUAGAA